AAAAGAAACCAGCGUUGACUUUCUGUAAAAAGCAGUUUGUUUAUUUGACAAAAUGGUUGGAGCCAGGAAAUACUCAGGCUAAAAUGUUCCCAGACCAACUUGAUCUUUGAAGAUAAAUCAGAAGUUAUGGGUCCUGUGGUAUUUCCUUUGACAAAGCAGGACAGGACCACAAGCAAGUCAUACAAGUGAUUUCUAGAAGCUAGAAAAGGAAAGAAAACAGAUUCUAUUCCAGGACUUUGAAAAGGAAUGCAGCUCUGUCAACACCUUGAUGUUAGAACAUCUGACCUCUAGAACUGUAAGAGAAUAAAUUGAAGGGCCGG
RNAcentral lists this long non-coding RNA (320 nucleotides) under Heterocephalus glaber (naked mole-rat). RNAcentral's name for it is "lncRNA (ENSHGLG00100044352.1)". Lineage: Eukaryota; Metazoa; Chordata; Mammalia; Rodentia; Bathyergidae. The record is from RNAcentral.